AGGUAUAGCGUAGCUGGUUAUCGCGUCGGAUUGUGGUUCCGAAGAUCAAGGGUUCGAAUCCCUUUACC
RNAcentral lists this transfer RNA (68 nucleotides) under bovine gut metagenome. It matches the Rfam family "tRNA". Rfam says of the family: Transfer RNA (tRNA) molecules are approximately 80 nucleotides in length. Their secondary structure includes four short double-helical elements and three loops (D, anti-codon, and T loops). The record is from RNAcentral.